This 496-nucleotide ribosomal RNA is filed under the name uncultured bacterium. Its description in RNAcentral is "partial 16S ribosomal RNA". It matches the Rfam family "Bacterial small subunit ribosomal RNA", at positions 28 to 506 of the family's 1533-position model. The record is from RNAcentral.
GAUGAACGCUGGCGGCGUGCCUAAUACAUGCAAGUCGAGCGAACGGACGAGAAGCUUGCUUCUCUGAUGUUAGCGGCGGACGGGUGAGUAACACGUGGAUAACCUACCUAUAAGACUGGGAUAACUUCGGGAAACCGGAGCUAAUACCGGAUAAUAUUUUGAACCGCAUGGUUCAAAAUGGAAAGAGGGUCUUGCGGUCACUUAUAGAUGGAUCCGCGCUGCAUUAGCUAGUUGGUAAGGUAACGGCUUACCAAGGCAACGAUGCAUAGCCGACCUGAGAGGGUGAUCGGCCACACUGGAACUGAGACACGGUCCAGACUCCUACGGGAGGCAGCAGUAGGGAAUCUUCCGCAAUGGGCGAAAGCCUGACGGAGCAACGCCGCGUGAGUGAUGAAGGUCUUCGGAUCGUAAAACUCUGUUAUUAGGGAAGAACAUAUGUGUAAGUAACUGUGCACAUCUUGACGGUACCUAAGCAGAAAGCCACGGCUAACUACGU